AAACUGCCUGAUGGAGGGGGAUAACUACUGGAAACGGUAGCUAAUACCGCAUAACGUCGCAAGACCAAAGAGGGGGACCUUCGGGCCUCUUGCCAUCAGAUGUGCCCAGAUGGGAUUAGCUAGUAGGUGGGGUAACGGCUCACCUAGGCGACGAUCCCUAGCUGGUCUGAGAGGAUGACCAGCCACACUGGAACUGAGACACGGUCCAGACUCCUACGGGAGGCAGCAGUGGGGAAUAUUGCACAAUGGGCGCAAGCCUGAUGCAGCCAUGCCGCGUGUAUGAAGAAGGCCUUCGGGUUGUAAAGUACUUUCAGCGGGGAGGAAGGUGUUGUGGUUAAUAACCACAGCAAUUGACGUUACCCGCAGAAGAAGCACCGGCUAACUCCGUGCCAGCAGCCGCGGUAAUACGGAGGGUGCAAGCGUUAAUCGGAAUUACUGGGCGUAAAGCGCACGCAGGCGGUCUGUCAAGUCGGAUGUGAAAUCCCCGGGCUCAACCUGGGAACUGCAUUCGAAACUGGCAGGCUGGAG
Molecule: ribosomal RNA, 528 nt
Filed under: Enterobacter cloacae
Lineage: Bacteria; Pseudomonadati; Pseudomonadota; Gammaproteobacteria; Enterobacterales; Enterobacteriaceae
Description: bacterial SSU rRNA
Rfam family: Bacterial small subunit ribosomal RNA
Source: RNAcentral